Molecule: long non-coding RNA, 269 nt
Filed under: Elaeis guineensis (African oil palm)
Lineage: Eukaryota; Viridiplantae; Streptophyta; Magnoliopsida; Arecales; Arecaceae
Description: long non-coding RNA (EGUI_LNC028944)
Source: RNAcentral
ACUGUCCUGCAUGAAUCAAGCAAAAUUGGACUUGACCAUCAUAGAUUUCCUACCAAUUAAACCCAAUAACAUCUAAAUGACCUGUUGAACACGGCAUUUUGAUCUUACCUGCCCUCAAUUUAAUGUAGACACAACCUAACCCAAAUCUAUCAACUGUCACUCCACAGCCCAAAACUAGAACCAUUUUGGACCAGAUCUUGGCACCGUGAUAAUUAACAAAAUCUGGACCCUUCCCAUUUGCAAUCAAGUUGCAUAACGUUAAAGAGCUG